CUAACACAUGCAAGUCGAACGGUAACAGGAAGCAGCUUGCUGCUUUGCUGACGAGUGGCGGACGGGUGAGUAAUGUCUGGGAAACUGCCUGAUGGAGGGGGAUAACUACUGGAAACGGUGGCUAAUACCGCAUAACGUCGCAAGACCAAAGAGGGGGACCUUCGGGCCUCUUGCCAUCAGAUGUGCCCAGAUGGGAUUAGCUUGUUGGUGAGGUAACGGCUCACCAAGGCGACGAUCCCUAGCUGGUCUGAGAGGAUGACCAGCCACACUGGAACUGAGACACGGUCCAGACUCCUACGGGAGGCAGCAGUGGGGAAUAUUGCACAAUGGGCGCAAGCCUGAUGCAGCCAUGCCGCGUGUAUGAAGAAGGCCUUCGGGUUGUAAAGUACUUUCAGCGGGGAGGAAGGUGUUGUGGUUAAUAACCGCAGCAAUUGACGUUACCCGCAGAAGAAGCACCGGCUAACUCCGUGCCAGCAGCCGCGGUAAUACGGAGGGUGCAAGCGUUAAUCGGAAUUACUGGGCGUAAAGCGCACGCAGGCGGUCUGUCAAGUCGGAUGUGAAAUCCCCGGGCUCAACCUGGGAACUGCAUUCGAAACUGGCAGGCUUGAGUCUUGUAGAGGGGGGUAGAAUUCCAGGUGUAGCGGUGAAAUGCGUAGAGAUCUGGAGGAAUACCGGUGGCGAAGGCGGCCCCCUGGACAAAGACUGACGCUCAGGUGCGAAAGCGUGGGGAGCAAACAGGAUUAGAUACCCUGGUAGUCCACGCCGUAAACGAUGUCUACUUGGAGGUUGUGCCCUUGAGGCGUGGCUUCCGGAGCUAACGCGUUAAGUAGACCGCCUGGGGAGUACGGCCGCAAGGUUAAAACUCAAAUGAAUUGACGGGGGCCCGCACAAGCGGUGGAGCAUGUGGUUUAAUUCGAUGCAACGCGAAGAACCUUACCUGGUCUUGACAUCCACAGAAGAAUCCAGAGAUGGAUUUGUGCCUUCGGGAACUGUGAGACAGGUGCUGCAUGGCUGUCGUCAGCUCGUGUUGUGAAAUGUUGGGUUAAGUCCCGCAACGAGCGCAACCCUUAUCCUUUGUUGCCAGCGGUUAGGCCGGGAACUCAAAGGAGACUGCCAGUGAUAAACUGGAGGAAGGUGGGGAUGACGUCAAGUCAUCAUGGCCCUUACGACCAGGGCUACACACGUGCUACAAUGGCGCAUACAAAGAGAAGCGACCUCGCGAGAGCAAGCGGACCUCAUAAAGUGCGUCGUAGUCCGGAUUGGAGUCUGCAACUCGACUCCAUGAAGUCGGAAUCGCUAGUAAUCGUGGAUCAGAAUGCCACGGUGAAUACGUUCCCGGGCCUUGUACACACCGCCCGUCACACCAUGGGAGUGGGUUGCAAAAGAAGUAGGUAGCUUAACCUUCGGGAGGGCGCUUACCACUUUGUGAUUCAUGACUGGGGUGAAGUCGUAACAAGGUAACCGUAGGGGAACCUGCGGUUGGA
RNAcentral lists this ribosomal RNA (1484 nucleotides) under Salmonella enterica subsp. enterica serovar Enteritidis. RNAcentral's name for it is "bacterial SSU rRNA". It matches the Rfam family "Bacterial small subunit ribosomal RNA". Lineage: Bacteria; Pseudomonadati; Pseudomonadota; Gammaproteobacteria; Enterobacterales; Enterobacteriaceae. The record is from RNAcentral.